Molecule: transfer RNA, 62 nt
Filed under: Eisenia andrei
Lineage: Eukaryota; Metazoa; Annelida; Clitellata; Crassiclitellata; Lumbricidae
Description: tRNA-Ala
Source: RNAcentral
UGCAACUUAGUUUAAUUAGAACAGUCAACUUGCACUUGAUAAGUGAGAUACCUCAGUAGCGG